UACGUAGGGGGCUAGCGUUGUCCGGAUUUAUUGGGCGUAAAGAGCGUGUAGGCGGCCUGGUAGGUCUGCUGUGAAAACUCGAGGCUCAACCUCGAGAUGUCGGCGGAAACCAUCUGGCUAGAGUCCGGAAGAGGAGAGUGGAAUUCCUGGUGUAGCGGUGAAAUGCGCAGAUAUCGGAAGGAACAUCAGUGGCGAAAGCGACUGCCUGGCCCAAUACUGACGCUCAUGUGCGAAAGCGUGGGGAGCAAACAGG
RNAcentral lists this ribosomal RNA (253 nucleotides) under uncultured bacterium. RNAcentral describes it as "partial 16S ribosomal RNA". It matches the Rfam family "Bacterial small subunit ribosomal RNA", at positions 524 to 776 of the family's 1533-position model. The record is from RNAcentral.